Molecule: ribosomal RNA, 253 nt
Filed under: uncultured bacterium
Lineage: Bacteria
Description: partial 16S ribosomal RNA
Rfam family: Bacterial small subunit ribosomal RNA
Source: RNAcentral
CACGUAGGGCGCAAGCGUUGUCCGGAAUUAUUGGGCGUAAAGAGCUCGUAGGCGGUUUGUCGCGUCUGCUGUGAAAACUGGAGGCUCAACCUCCAGCCUGCAGUGGGUACGGGCAGACUAGAGUGCGGUAGGGGAGAUUGGAAUUCCUGGUGUAGCGGUGGAAUGCGCAGAUAUCAGGAGGAACACCAAUGGCGAAGGCAGAUCUCUGGGCCGUAACUGACGCUGAGGAGCGAAAGCAUGGGGAGCGAACAGG